GAAACCAAAAGGAAUUCCAUUCGUAGUGGCGAACGAGAAUGGAUGAGUCCAUCGCUGAAUCUUGUAAGAAGUUUGUAUAGUGUCACUGAUCGUGAGUUUUUGAUUUUUAAUUGAAAAUGAAUGAUUUUUGGUGCUUUCAAGCACAUUUAAUUCUUAUAAGAAAUGUAGCGUUCGGGAGAAUUCGAAUAGAUUCUUGGUUGUGCGUGGAAUUUUUUUCUCGUCGCAAUCGGAUUUUAGUUGUUGCCAAUCGAUGUUUUUUAUUUGAAAACAAGAAAUCCAAGUCCUAUUGAAUUAGGCUAAUUUUCUCUAAUUGAAACUCGUAGAGGGUGUCAAGCCCGUAGUGGUUUCGGAAACGUCGAUUGGUUUGAAUUACUCUCUAGAGUCGGAUUGCUUGAGAGUGCAAUCUUAAGUUGGUGGUAAACUCCAUCAAAGACUAAAUAUGGCCACAAGACCGAUAGCAAACAAGUACCAUGAGGGAAAGUUGAAAAGCACUCUGAAGAGAGAGUCAAAAGUACGUGAAACCGUUUAGGAGUAAACCUGUAUGAAUCGUGUGAUUUUUUAUUGUAAUCGAAUCGAGAUUCAGUGAGUGACAUUUUGCUUUAGUGAAUGAAAUAAUUUAUUAUUUUAUUUGGUUUAAUGAAAUUUCGCUUAUGCAUUUCUUGAUUCGAUGUGAAUUCGCGACUCGUUUGCAACAAAACGAAUCAUCGAUGACUGAUUUUUGCUGCCGACUUGUGUGUAAAAGCACGUUUGUGUCGCAUUUUGAGUGUUACAGUUUGUUUUUCUUUGAGAAAUGAUUGUAAAUUAACCGCUUAUUAUGCGAAUAGUUGGUUCAGUUCCGGUUUCGGUUCGAUUUUGUUUGGUAGACGAUUAAGUAUUAGUUACUGAUUCUCUGUAGAAGAAUCAAAAAUUAUUUUUUUGAGCGAAGCGCAAAGGCUCGUUUUUUUGAUUAAAAAUGAAAGUGUGUGUUGCUUUAAGAUGAAUCGUGGUGCGUUUUAAUGUUCACGCGACUGUAUAAGGAAUGAUACAUUUUCAUUUUGUGACAAAAUUGCCGAUGGAAACGAUCUCAUACAGGACCCGACCCGUCUUGAACCACGGAGUCUAACAAGUGUGCGAGUUAUUGGUCUAAAACAAUGUGACUUGAGUUUUGUUGCUCUAUUUUAAGUUUUUUGUUUUAAUUCAAAAAAGAGAAUAGCGGCGGCGGCGGCUUCUCAAGUACAUUAAACUAAAUAAAAACUAAAAGCAAAAUGAAAGUGAAAAGAAAGAACAGAAGCAUUGUGUAAUAACGUGUUUUUGGUUUUUCUAAAAUGAUGAGAUCGAUUUGCUGCUGCUUUGAAAAAAGCGACGAAAAAGAGAUCGCAAUCAUUGAAUAUUCAGGACACGUGUUUUUUGUUGGCGACUGAUGACGGAGAUGGCGCAAGUUGUUUUCGUUGUUGUUGUCAGCUGUUCACGAGGUCGGAAUAUAUCGAGAGCAUACUUGUUGGGACCCGAAAGAUGGUGAACUAUGCCUGGCCAGGAUGAAGUCAGGAGAAAUUCUGAUGGAGGUCCGAAGCGAUUCUGACGUGCAAAUCGAUCGUCAGAGCUGGGUAUAGGGGCGAAAGACUAAUCGAACCAUCUAGUAGCUGGUUCCUUCCGAAGUUUCCCUCAGGAUAGCUGGCAUUGAGCUUAAGUCGUCGAGUCGAUUAAUUUUUUAUCGUUUCGAAGAAGAAUUAAUCGAGUCUCAUUCGGUAAAGCGAAUGAUUAGAGGAAUUGGGAACGAAACGUUCUCAACCUAUUCUCAAACUUUAAAUGAGUGAGAAAAUUUAACUUUCUUAGUGAAUACAGCCGCAAUGUUUGUCUUCGGCAAGUAUUGUGUGUGUGUGUGUGUGAAGUUAAAUAGUUAAGAUCGAAAAUGCCAAGUGGGC
Molecule: ribosomal RNA, 1901 nt
Filed under: Caenocholax sp. DDM-2010
Lineage: Eukaryota; Metazoa; Arthropoda; Insecta; Strepsiptera; Myrmecolacidae
Description: partial 28S ribosomal RNA
Rfam family: Eukaryotic large subunit ribosomal RNA
Source: RNAcentral